RNAcentral lists this ribosomal RNA (509 nucleotides) under uncultured bacterium. RNAcentral's name for it is "partial 16S ribosomal RNA". It matches the Rfam family "Bacterial small subunit ribosomal RNA", at positions 355 to 874 of the family's 1533-position model. The record is from RNAcentral.
UGGGGAAUAUUGCACAAUGGGCGCAAGCCUGAUGCAGCAACGCCGCGUGAGGGAUGACGGCCUUCGGGUUGUAAACCUCUUUUAGUAGGGAAGAAGCGAAAGUGACGGUACCUGCAGAAAAAGCACCGGCUAACUACGUGCCAGCAGCCGCGGUAAUACGUAGGGUGCGAGCGUUGUCCGGAAUUAUUGGGCGUAAAGAGCUCGUAGGCGGUCUGUCGCGUCUGCUGUGAAAACCCGAGGCUCAACCUCGGGCCUGCAGUGGGUACGGGCAGACUAGAGUGCGGUAGGGGAGAAUGGAAUUCCUGGUGUAGCGGUGGAAUGCGCAGAUAUCAGGAGGAACACCGAUGGCGAAGGCAGUUCUCUGGGCCGUAACUGACGCUGAGGAGCGAAAGCGUGGGGAGCGAACAGGAUUAGAUACCCUGGUAGUCCACGCCGUAAACGUUGGGCGCUAGAUGUGGGGACCAUUCCACGGUUUCCGUGUCGCAGCUAACGCAUUAAGCGCCCCGCCU